This 2285-nucleotide long non-coding RNA is filed under the name Homo sapiens (human). RNAcentral describes it as "HSALNT0196355". Lineage: Eukaryota; Metazoa; Chordata; Mammalia; Primates; Hominidae. The record is from RNAcentral.
GGCUGGAGUGCAGUGGUGUGAUCUUGGCUCACUGCAACAUCCGCCUCCUGGGUUCAUGCCAUUCUCCUGCCUCAGCCUCCUGAGUAGCUGGGAUUAAAGGAGCCUGCCACCAUGCCUGGCUAAUUUUUUUGUAUUUUUAGUAGAGACGUGGUUUCACCAUGUUAGCCAGGAUGGUCUCGAUCUCCUGACCUCGUGAUCCUCCCGCCUCGGCCUCCCAAAGUGCUGGGAUUACAGGCCUGAGCCACUGCGCCUGGCAGAGACGGGGUUUCACCAUGUUGGCCAGGAUGAUCUUGAUCUCUUGGCUUGGUGAUCCGCCCACCUCGGCCUCCCAAAGUCUUGGGAUUACAGGCGUAAGCCACUGUGCCCGGCCUAUUUUUAUUUUUUUUGAGACAGAGUCUCGUUUUGUUGCCCAGGCUGGAGUGCAGUGGUGCAAUCUCAGUUCACUGCAACCUCUGCCUCCUGGGCUCAGGCGAUUCUCCUGCCUCAGCCUCCCGAGUAGCUGGGAUUACAGGCACCCGCCACCAUGCCCGGCUAAUUUUUGUAUUUUUAGUAGAGACGGGGCUUCACCAUGUUGGCUAGGCUGGUCUCGAACUCCUGACCUCAGGUGAUCCUCCCACCUCAGCCUCCCGAAGUGCUGGGUUUACAGGCGUCAGCCACUGCGCCCGGUCGAGUUUGACUCUUGAUUCCAUUUCCUGAGCAUCACCAUGUGCAGCAGGAAACAUUCUGGAAAGGUGUUUUCCCUGCCGUAGAUUCCAUGUAGCCCAAGAUUAGGGGCGAAUGCACUUAGGAGGUAAAUAGAUGCGGCUUCAGGUCUGAGUUCCACCACCACUGACCCGCUGUGUAACCUUUGCAGGUCAUUGAUCCUCUCUGACUCUCAGUUUGCCCGUCUGUAAAACAGAUCUCCUGAGUAGAUGUUUACUCAGCUCAGUGUCUGGCACAUAGCAAAUGCUCACUAAGUGGGAGCUAUGUUAAAUCUUUUUUUUUUUUUUUUUGAGACAGGGUCUCACUCUGUUGCUCAGACUGGAGUGCAGUGGCACCAUCUCGGCUCACCUCAACCUCCGCCUCCCAAGCUCAAGUGAUUCUCCUGCUUCAGCUUCCUGAGUAGCUGAGAUUAAGGCGAACGCCACUACCACCCAGCUCAUUUUUGUAUUUUUUAAUAGAGUCAGGGUUUCACCAUGUUGGCCAGGCUGGUCUCGAACUCAUGACCUCAAAUGAUCCACCCACCUCGGAAGUACUGGGAUUACAGGUGUAAGCCACUGCAUCUGGCUUAGCUAUGGCGAAUCUUAAGGUAUGGGGAAUUAUCUUUCCCUUUCCCCAGUCCUACUUCAUCUCAUCAAAUUAAACCCAACAGCCUCUGAGUAAUAUUGGGAAGAAAACUGCUAUUUCCCUGCCCACCAUACUGAGCUCACAUGAACCACUGCCCCCAGAGGAAGAACCAUGACUUUGCUCUCUGGAAGCUACAUGCCUGACUGCCUCUUCCUUUGGUUUUUUCCUGCUGGGCCAGAGGUAUUCUCCCCUGUGCUCCUGCCCCUUGCCCUCUGCCCCUGCUCCCUUCCAAGCUCCUCAAGGUCCUGUCCCUGAGAAAGAAGGCCUGGGUUAUUCCUUUUUUUUUUUUUUUUUUUUGAGUCUCGCUCUGUUGCCCAGGCUAGAGUGCAGUGGCACAAUCUCGGCUCACUGCAACCUCCACCUCCCGGGCUCAAGCGAUUCUCCUGCCUCAGCCUCCCGAAUAGGUGGGAUUACAGGCAUCUGCCAUCACGCCCGGCUAAUUUUUGGAUUUUUAGUAGAGACGAGGUUUUGCCAUGUUGGCCAGGCUGGUCUCGAACUCCUGACCUCAGGUGAUCUGCCCGCCUCAGCCUCCCAAAGUGCUGGGAUUACAGGAGUAAGCCACCGUGCCUGGUCAUCGCUAUUAUCAUUUUUGUUUUCUUUCUUUCUCUCUCUUUUUUUUUUUUUUUGAGAUAGGGUCACGCUCUGUUACCCAGGCUGGAGUGCAGUAGCGUGAUAAUAGUGAUAAUAGUUUACUGCAGCCUUGAACUCCUGGGCUUAAGUAAUCCUCCAGUCUCAUCCUCCUGAGUAGCUGGGACCACAGGUGCAGGCCACCACGCCCAGCUAAUUUCACUUGAUCUCAGCUAAAAGGCCGACAAAUGAUACCAGCUAAUUAAAAAAAAAAAAAUUGGCCAGGCGCAGUGGCUCAUGCCUGUAAUCCCAGCACUUUGGGAGGCUGAGGCAGGUUGGUCACGAGGAGUUCAAGACCAGCCUGUCCAACAUGGUGAAACCCCAUCUCUACC